Long non-coding RNA from Oncorhynchus tshawytscha (Chinook salmon), 494 nucleotides. The record is from Ensembl. Lineage: Eukaryota; Metazoa; Chordata; Actinopteri; Salmoniformes; Salmonidae.
CCCAAUUCUCACAUUUAAACAAAACAAAAAUAUGUAUUUAAUUGUUUAAUGAUUACUGAUUAAUUUAUACAUUCAUAAUUAGUAGGUUUUGUUAUCUGUUUAAACGAACCUUUGUCUACAUCUGUAUUGUAUAUUGUUUUUGGAGGUGUUGUUUUUAAAUCAGCCCUUCCUGGAGGGUGGUCAGGUAGGGUAGAGGGUGGUCAGGUAGGGUGGAGGGUGACCUGCCCCAGCUCAACUCUCUGUUUUUGUAUAUCUGCAGUACAUUUCUACUCUUGCAUUAGUCCUCAUCCAUUGGCCAUUUGGGUUAGCAUGAAACCUAACUAUAUUUGGCACAGAAAAAUAAACAGGAACAUAAUACAAUAUCCCACCUCCUUGGCUUUGGGCAGGGGCUGAAGGUAUGCAUGUUGAUCAGUAGGGGCUGAAGGUAUGCAUGUUGAUCAGUAGGGGCUGAAGGUAUGCAUGUUGAUCAGUAGGGGCUGAAGGUAUGCAUGUUG